UUUACAGUCCAGAUAUGGUGGGGGUCCAUUAACCAAAUCAACCCCGACAAGGGCCCAUAUACUUGGAUUGGACCAUCAAGUUAACUUUUCAUACCAAAGCCCAAUUGAGAACCCUCUCGGCCAUAACUUCAAAGGUGAAGUCGAGGGCUUAGUUCGAACACGCAGCAUACCAUUUAAAAUAAUUUCUUCCAUUUUCAUAAGUCAAUUUAAAC
This 212-nucleotide long non-coding RNA is filed under the name Carica papaya (papaya). RNAcentral's name for it is "long non-coding RNA (CPAP_LNC001612)". The record is from RNAcentral. Lineage: Eukaryota; Viridiplantae; Streptophyta; Magnoliopsida; Brassicales; Caricaceae.